Molecule: ribosomal RNA, 492 nt
Filed under: uncultured bacterium
Lineage: Bacteria
Description: partial 16S ribosomal RNA
Rfam family: Bacterial small subunit ribosomal RNA
Source: RNAcentral
AGUGAACGCUGGCGGUAGGCCUAACACAUGCAAGUCGAACGGCAGCACAGUAAGAGCUUGCUCUUACGGGUGGCGAGUGGCGGACGGGUGAGGAAUACAUCGGAAUCUACUUUUUCGUGGGGGAUAACGUAGGGAAACUUACGCUAAUACCGCAUACGACCUACGGGUGAAAGCAGGGGAUCUUCGGACCUUGCGCGAUUGAAUGAGCCGAUGUCGGAUUAGCUAGUUGGCGGGGUAAAGGCCCACCAAGGCGACGAUCCGUAGCUGGUCCGAGAGGAUGAUCAGCCACACUGGAACUGAGACACGGUCCAGACUCCUACGGGAGGCAGCAGUGGGGAAUAUUGGACAAUGGGCGCAAGCCUGAUCCGGCCAUACCGCGUGGGUGAAGAAGGCCUUCGGGUUGUAAAGCCCUUUUGUUGGGAAAGAAAAGCAGCAGGUUAAUACCCCGCUGUUCUGACGGUACCCAAAGAAUAAGCACCGGCUAACUUCGUG